Spea bombifrons (plains spadefoot toad) is the source of this 260-nucleotide long non-coding RNA. RefSeq lists it as uncharacterized. The transcript is spliced from 2 exons. The record is from RefSeq and is a predicted model, not a curated record. Lineage: Eukaryota; Metazoa; Chordata; Amphibia; Anura; Pelobatidae.
AAGAUAAGCACCUGCAAAGGGUGGGGAUCUAGCCAGGAAAGCAUCUUUGAACAGGUGAAGCAAACAAUACGAAGGAAAAGGUACAAGAACAAACUCAACAAGUGGGCCACUGACAAGUUAUCUAUUGUGGGAUAGUAUUAAAACAUAGUAUUAAAACAUGAAACUUGGCACAUAUUAAUAUAAUGGAAAUUAUCCUAUUUAGAUGCAAAGAAAUAAAUCAGCUUUGAUUGUCAUUAAACAAAAUUGGAAAGAGAAAAGAA